UGGCGAAGUGGCGGAAUUGGUAGACGCAGUGGACUCAAAAUCCACCGAAGGCAACUUUGUAAGGGUUCGAGUCCCUUCUUCGCUAU
This 86-nucleotide transfer RNA is filed under the name Spirochaetota bacterium. RNAcentral's name for it is "Spirochaetes bacterium tRNA-Leu". It matches the Rfam family "tRNA". Rfam says of the family: Transfer RNA (tRNA) molecules are approximately 80 nucleotides in length. Their secondary structure includes four short double-helical elements and three loops (D, anti-codon, and T loops). The record is from RNAcentral. Lineage: Bacteria; Pseudomonadati; Spirochaetota.